UACGGGAGGCAGCAGUGGGGAAUAUUGCACAAUGGGCGCAAGCCUGAUGCAGCCAUGCCGCGUGUAUGAAGAAGGCCUUCGGGUUGUAAAGUACUUUCAGUCGUGAGGAAGGUGUUAAGGUUAAUAACCUUAGCAAUUGACGUUAGCGACAGAAGAAGCACCGGCUAACUCCGUGCCAGCAGCCGCGGUAAUACGAAGGGGCUAGCGUUGCUCGGAAUUACUGGGCGUAAAGGGAGCGUAGGCGGACAUUUUAAGUCAGGGGUGAAAUCCCGGGGCUCAACCUCGGAAUUGCCUUUUGAUACUGGGUGUCUUGAGUAUGAGAGAGGUGUGUGGAACUCCGAGUGUAGAGGUGAAAUUCGUAGAUAUUCGGAAGAACACCAGUGGCGAAGGCGACACACUGGCUCAUUACUGACGCUGAGGCUCGAAAGCGUGGGGAGCAAACAGGAUUAGAUAACC
This 456-nucleotide ribosomal RNA is filed under the name uncultured bacterium. Its description in RNAcentral is "bacterial SSU rRNA". It matches the Rfam family "Bacterial small subunit ribosomal RNA", at positions 340 to 787 of the family's 1533-position model. The record is from RNAcentral.